Molecule: long non-coding RNA, 1664 nt
Organism: Piliocolobus tephrosceles (Ugandan red Colobus)
Lineage: Eukaryota; Metazoa; Chordata; Mammalia; Primates; Cercopithecidae
Source: Ensembl
AAAGCUGUAGUAGUAGAAAAAGCUGUAAUAAUGAUAAGUGUGACAAAGGAAAAAAAAAAAAAAAACAUAAAGAUACUGAUGAAGAGAACAAAACAGUUUUUGAUUCGUAUAAACAAAAUAAAACCGAAAAAAAUAAUUCUUCAGCACUUGAAAAAAAAAAAAAAAAAAAAAAUGAUAGUAGCGAUGAAUACCACAGUGCUAAUACGUCAGAGAGCGAAAAUAAUGAUUUGAACGAUUUGAAAAAAGUACCAAACAAAAAUAAAAUAAGGAGUUCAUUCAAUGAAAGUAAAUAUACAAAUAAAAACGGAGCAGAAAAAAAUGUAAAAAGAUGUAGUAGUCGUAGUGAAAGUUAUAGUAGUAAACAUAAUAAAAAUAUAAAAAACGAAAUGUUAGAAGUAAAUAAAAAUAAAGAAUACUCAAAGAGGUAUAAUAACAAUAUAUAUAAUAAAUCAAAUAGUAACAUAAAAAAUAAUAAACAAAUGUUGUUUGAUAGUGAGAAGGAAAAAAAAAAAAAAGGAGAAAAAAACGAAACAGAAAUAGAAGGUAAAAAAUGGGAAGAACAAAAAAAAAGAAAAAUGACGCAUCAACGACGCGGUGAUAAUAUAACGAAAAAAAAAAAAACGAAACAUAAAAGUAAGUAUAGUAGUAGUGUUAGUAGUAGUAGUAGUAGUAGUAGUAGUAGUAGUGUUAGUAACAUUAGUGUUAGUAACAUUAGUGUUAGUAACAGUAGUAAUAAAAGUAAUAGCAGUGAUCGUAGUGAAAAAUCAAAAGGUGAUACACAAAAACAAAGAAAACUUAUAGAUACUAAAGAGAAAAACAAAAAAAGUAACAAUAAAAAUAAAAUGCUACUUGAGGUAGACUAUAAAAAAAAGAGAGCUAAGAAUUCUAAGAAUAAAGGUACACCUGAUGAACACAAUGUUUUUGAUAUAAAAAUGAAUGAAAGAAAAAAAAAGCAAAAUGAGCAAUAUGAACAUGCAAAAAUGGAAAAAAUGGAAAAAAUCGAAAAAAUCGAAAAAAUCGAAAAAAUCGAAAAAAUGGAAAAAAUCGAAAAAAUGGAAAAAAUGGAAAAAAUCGAAAAACGUGGAAAAUGUGUUAGAGAAGACAGUAAAUCAAGCGAAAUGGGUAACAACUACGACAUACAAAAAAAAGAUGGUCACAGUAGUAGUGAAGGAGAAAAGAAAAGUAUACAACUGUUGAACAAAUCGUAUAAAAAAUCAAAUAAUAAUAGAAAAAAAAAAAAAUUAUUAAGAAGUAGCUCAAUAGAAAGUAAUAUAGAUGUGGAAAUGCAGAAACAUAGAAAUAAGUAUUAUGAUAAAAAAAAAUAUAAAAGUAAUAGUAUAAAAAAAAGAGAAAGAAGAAGUCAUAGCUCAAACAAAUAUAGUAACAAUAAAUAUAAAAGAAUGGAUGAAAAAAGUGAUAUAUUUAGUAGUGAAAGUAUAUAUGAUAAAAGUAAAGAACAAACAAAGGAAAACCUAAAAGUAUAUAAUAAAAAAAGGGAACAGAAUAAAAAUAAAGUGGAAAAAUGGAAAGGAAUUAAACAUAUCAAGUCUAAUCAUAGACAGAGUGAGAGAAACAAACAUUGUGAAUAUUAUUUAAGCCACAGUAGUGUAAGUGGUCGUAAUGGUAGUAGUAGUGUAAGUGGUCGUAGUGGUCGUAGUGGUCGU